RNAcentral lists this ribosomal RNA (253 nucleotides) under uncultured bacterium. Its description in RNAcentral is "partial 16S ribosomal RNA". It matches the Rfam family "Bacterial small subunit ribosomal RNA", at positions 524 to 776 of the family's 1533-position model. The record is from RNAcentral.
UACGUAGGGUGCAAGCGUUGUCCGGAAUUAUUGGGCGUAAAGAGCUCGUAGGCGGUUUGUCGCGUCUGCCGUGAAAAUCCGGGGCUCAACCCCGGACUUGCGGUGGGUACGGGCAGACUAGAGUGUGGUAGGGGAGACUGGAAUUCCUGGUGUAGCGGUGAAAUGCGCAGAUAUCAGGAGGAACACCGAUGGCGAAGGCAAUCCCCUGGGCCUGCACUGACGCUCAUGCACGAAAGCGUGGGGAGCAAACAGG